Lemur catta (Ring-tailed lemur) is the source of this 698-nucleotide long non-coding RNA. RefSeq lists it as uncharacterized. The transcript has 4 exons. NCBI's taxonomy places the organism in Eukaryota, Metazoa, Chordata, Mammalia, Primates, Lemuridae. The record is from RefSeq and is a predicted model, not a curated record.
GCAGGACCGGCCCCGGCGGCACCGUCGGUCUUGCCGGAGGUUGGACAGGGCACAGCGCGCACCUGAAGACAGAAGCCGGACAGAGGUAUACAAUGUGAUGAUUUACCCUUCUGCCAUGUGAGCCACAGCAUGUGGCCCUUCCUCCAUGUGAGAAUGCAGCAAGAAGGCCCUCUGGCAAGUAGAGAGCAAGCCCUCACCAGACACCCAAUCUGCUGUGCUUGAUCCUGGACUUCCCGGCCUCCAGAACGAAACCACCUAGCAGUAAUAAGGACACUGAGAAACAGAAAAGCAAACCUCAUCUUUGACAAAACAAGGAGACAUGUUCACUCCCAUAUGCAGGCAGUGGCUGUGGUUCCAGGCCCCGCAUGGCUCCAGGAGCCUCCUCAGAAGCAGAAGCUCCCAUGGUGGGCCAGCCCAGCAGUGUUGUUCACUCUACGGUGUCCAGCCGAGAACUGCUUCUCUAGGCCUUCCAAUGAUGUGAGUUAUUGCCUGUCUACUAUGGACCCAAAGCUGUUCUAGGCACUGGGGAUACAGUCAUCUGUCAUUAUCCAUGGGGGAUACAUUCAAAGACCCCAGAGGAUGCCUGAAACCGAGGAUGGUACCAAACUCUAUAUGUACUGUUUUUUUCUAUACAAACAUACAUACAUACCUAUGGUAAAGUUUAAUUUAUAAAUUAGGCACAGUAAAAAAUUGACAAU